RNAcentral lists this ribosomal RNA (429 nucleotides) under Verrucomicrobiota bacterium. RNAcentral's name for it is "Verrucomicrobia bacterium partial 16S ribosomal RNA". It matches the Rfam family "Bacterial small subunit ribosomal RNA", at positions 355 to 776 of the family's 1533-position model. The record is from RNAcentral. Lineage: Bacteria; Pseudomonadati; Verrucomicrobiota.
UAGGGAAUCUUCCGCAAUGGACGAAAGUCUGACGGAGCAACGCCGCGUGAGUGAAGAAGGAUUUCGGUUCGUAAAACUCUGUUGUUAGGGAAGAAAAAAUGUAUAGUAACUAUAUACAAAAGAGACGGUACCUAACCAGAAAGCCACGGCUAACUACGUGCCAGCAGCCGCGGUAAUACGUAUGGAGCAAGCGUUAUCCGGAUUCAUUGGGCGUAAAGCGCUCGUAGGCGGUCUGUUAGGUCGGCAAGUUAAAUCCGGGGGCUCAACCCCCGGCCGCUUCCGAUACCGGCAGACUUGAGUUUGGUAGGGGAAGGUGGAAUUCCUAGUGUAGCGGUGGAAUGCGCAGAUAUUAGGAAGAACACCGGUGGCGAAGGCGGCCUUCUGGGCCAUAACUGACGCUGAGGAGCGAAAGCUAGGGGAGCGAACAGG